Molecule: ribosomal RNA, 433 nt
Filed under: uncultured bacterium
Lineage: Bacteria
Description: partial 16S ribosomal RNA
Rfam family: Bacterial small subunit ribosomal RNA
Source: RNAcentral
AACGAACGCUGGCGGCAUGCCUAACACAUGCAAGUCGAACGAAGGCUUCGGCCUUAGUGGCGCACGGGUGCGUAACGCGUGGGAAUCUGCCCUUUGGUUCGGAAUAACAGCUGGAAACGGCUGCUAAUACCGGAUGAUGACGAAAGUCCAAAGAUUUAUCGCCAGAGGAUGAGCCCGCGUUGGAUUAGGUAGUUGGUGGGGUAAAGGCCUACCAAGCCGACGAUCCAUAGCUGGUCUGAGAGGAUGAUCAGCCACACUGGGACUGAGACACGGCCCAGACUCCUACGGGAGGCAGCAGUGGGGAAUAUUGGACAAUGGGCGCAAGCCUGAUCCAGCAAUGCCGCGUGAGUGAUGAAGGCCCUAGGGUUGUAAGGCUCUUUUACCCGGGAAGAUAAUGACUGUACCGGGAGAAUAAGCCCCGGCUAACUCCGUG